This is a non-coding RNA of Potamilus streckersoni, 83 nucleotides long. Lineage: Eukaryota; Metazoa; Mollusca; Bivalvia; Unionida; Unionidae. The record is from the annotation of a GenBank genome assembly.
GCUCUGGUGGCCUAGUGGUUAGAGCGUCCGCAUCAAAUGCGGGAGGUCGCGUGCUCGAUCCCCGGCCGAAUUAUACCAAAGAA